UCCGGUUGAUCCUGCCGGAGGCCAUUGCUAUUGGAGUCCGAUUUAGCCAUGCUAGUCGUACGAGUUCAUACUCGUGGCGAAUAGCUCAGUAACACGUGGCCAAUCUCCCCUUCAGCGGCGGACACCCUCGGGAAACUGAGGCUAAUCCGCCAUACACCUCUCAGACCGGACUGUCGAGAGGUCAAAACGCUUUCCAGCGCUGAAGGAUGAGGCUGCGGCCGAUAGGUAGACGGUGGGGUAACGGCCCACCGUGCCCAUAAUCGGUACGGGUCGUGAGAGCGAGAACCCGGAGACGGAAUCUGAGACAAGAUUCCGGGCCCUACGGGGCGCAGCAGGCGCGAAACCUUUACACUGCACGCCAGUGCGAUAAGGGGACUCCAAGUGCGAGGGCAUAUCGUCCUCGCUAUCCUGUACUGUAGGGUAGUACAGUAUCAAGAGCUGGGCAAGACCGGUGCCAGCCGCCGCGGUAAUACCGGCAGCUCAAGUGAUGGCCACUCUUAUUGGGCCUAAAGCGUCCGUAGCUGGCCGCGCAAGUCCGUCGGGAAAUCCAUCAGCCCAACUGAUGGGCGUCCGGCGGAAACUGCACGGCUUGGGACCGGAAGGCUCGAGAGGUACGUCCGGGGUAGGAGUGAAAUCCCGUAAUCCCGAACGGACCACCGAUGGCGAAAGCAUCUCGAGAAAACGGAUCCGACAGUGAGGGACGAAAGCUAGGGUCUCGAACCGGAUUAAAUACCCGGGUAGUCCUAGCCGUAAACGAUGUUCGCUAGGUGUGGCACUGGCCACGAGCCAGUGCUGCGCCGUANGGAANCCNAAAANCGAACCGCCUGG
Molecule: ribosomal RNA, 828 nt
Filed under: uncultured archaeon
Lineage: Archaea
Description: bacterial SSU rRNA
Rfam family: Archaeal small subunit ribosomal RNA
Source: RNAcentral